This 467-nucleotide ribosomal RNA is filed under the name uncultured bacterium. Its description in RNAcentral is "partial 16S ribosomal RNA". It matches the Rfam family "Bacterial small subunit ribosomal RNA", at positions 28 to 507 of the family's 1533-position model. The record is from RNAcentral.
GACGAACGCUGGCGGCGUGCUUAACACAUGCAAGUCGAACGGAAAGGCCUCUUUCGGGGGGUACUCGAGUGGCGAACGGGUGAGUAACACGUGAGUAACCUGCCCUUGACUUUGGGAUAACUUCAGGAAACUGGGGCUAAUACCGGAUAGGAGCUCCUGCUGCAUGGUGGGGGUUGGAAAGUUUCGGCGGUUGGGGAUGGACUCGCGGCUUAUCAGCUUGUUGGUGGGGUAGUGGCUUACCAAGGCUUUGACGGGUAGCCGGCCUGGGAGGGUGACCGGCCACAUUGGGACUGAGAUACGGCCCAGACUCCUACGGGAGGCAGCAGGGGGGAAUAUUGCACAAUGGGUGGAAGCCUGAUGCAGCAACGCCAUGUGCGGGAUGACGGCCUUCGGGUUGGAAACCGCUUUCGCUCAUGACGAAGCUUUGUGUGACGGUAGUGGGUAAAGAAGCACCGGCUAACUACGUG